UGUGAGGAAAGUUUACUAGUUAAUACCUGCUAGCCGUGACGUUAACUGCAGAAGAAGCACCGGCUAACUCCGUGCCAGCAGCCGCGGUAAUACGGAGGGUGCGAGCGUUAAUCGGAAUUACUGGGCGUAAAGCGCACGCAGGCGGUUUGUUAAGCUAGAUGUGAAAGCCCCGGGCUCAACCUGGGAUGGUCAUUUAGAACUGGCAGACUAGAGUCUUGGAGAGGGGAGUGGAAUUCCAGGUGUAGCGGUGAAAUGCGUAGAUAUCUGGAGGAACAUCAGUGGCGAAGGCGACUCCCUGGACAAAGACUGACGCUCAUGUGCGAAAGUGUGGGUAGCGAACAGGAUUAGAUACCCUGGUAGUCCACACCGUAAACGCUGUCUACUAGCUGUGUGUGUCUUUAAAACGUGCGUAUCGAAGCUAACGCGCUAAGUAGACCGCCUGGGGAGUACGGCCGCAAGGUUAAAACUCAAAUGAAUUGACGGA
RNAcentral lists this ribosomal RNA (484 nucleotides) under uncultured bacterium. RNAcentral describes it as "bacterial SSU rRNA". It matches the Rfam family "Bacterial small subunit ribosomal RNA", at positions 441 to 917 of the family's 1533-position model. The record is from RNAcentral.